AAAAUUGAAGGUCUAAUCUGCCCAAUGAUAUUUGAAUGGCCGCGGUAACUUGACCGUGCAAAGGUAGCAUAAUUAUUAGUCUUUUAAUUGAAGGCUUGAAUGAAAGAUUGGAUGAGAAAUUAACUUUAUUAAUAUAAAUUAUUUAAUUUAUUAUUUAAGUAAAAAUUCUUAAAUAUAUAAGUGGGACGAAAAGACCCUAUAGAGUUUUAUUUUUAUUUUUAUUUUAAAAUUUAAGAAUUAAUAUUUUUACAAUAUAAAUAAAUUUUUUAUUGGGGUGAUAUUAAAAAUUAUUAAACUUUUAAUUAAUAUUUCAUUAAUAUAUGUAUUAUUGAUCCAAAAAAUUUUUGAUUAUAAGAUUAAAUUACCUUAGGGAUAACAGCGUUAUUAAUUUGAAGAGUUCAAAUCGAUAAAUUAGUUUGCGACCUCGAUGUUGGAUUAAGAAUAAAUUUUGAAGUAGUGUUUAAAAUUAUAGGUCUGUUCGACCUUUAAAUUCUUACG
This 498-nucleotide ribosomal RNA is filed under the name Platypleura haglundi. Its description in RNAcentral is "partial 16S ribosomal RNA". The stretch from base 372 to 498 matches the Rfam family "Bacterial large subunit ribosomal RNA", at positions 2473 to 2600 of the family's 2925-position model. Lineage: Eukaryota; Metazoa; Arthropoda; Insecta; Hemiptera; Cicadidae. The record is from RNAcentral.